CAUGUCCUUUUGAUUAUAAUUUAAGGUCUGAUCUGCUCAAUGAUUUUUAAAUAGCCGCAGUAUUUUGACUGUGCAAAGGUAGCAUAAUAAUUAGUUUCUUAAUUAGGAACUGGUAUGAAUGAUUUGACAAGAAAAUUUCUGUCUCUUUCUUAGAUUUUUUGAAUUUUAUUUUUAAGUGAAAAAGCUUAAAUUUUUAUAAAAGACGAGAAGACCCUAUAGAGUUUAAUAAAUUAAUUUAAUUAUAUUUUGGAAUUGAUUUUUAUUUAUAUUUAUUUGUUUGGGGUGAUCUAAAGAUAUAAUUAAUUCUUUAAUAUUUAAAUUAGUUAUUUCUAAAUUUUUAAUCUAUAGUUUAUAAAACUAAAAUAAAUUACCUUAGGGAUAACAGCGUAAUUUUUCUUAAAAGUUCUUAUUUAAAGAAAAGUUUGCGACCUCGAUGUUGGAUUAAAAUUAAUUUUUGGUGCAAUAACUUAAAAAUUAGGUCUGUUCGACCUUUAAAAUUUUACAUGAUCUGAGUUUAAACCGGUGUAAACCAGGUUGGAUUCUAUCUUUAGAAAUAUAAUAUAUUUUAGUACGAAAGGACCAAAUAUGUAUUAAAUUAAUUG
RNAcentral lists this ribosomal RNA (602 nucleotides) under Metriorrhynchina sp. BM0109. Its description in RNAcentral is "partial 16S ribosomal RNA". It matches the Rfam family "Bacterial large subunit ribosomal RNA", at positions 1816 to 2714 of the family's 2925-position model. The record is from RNAcentral. Lineage: Eukaryota; Metazoa; Arthropoda; Insecta; Coleoptera; Lycidae.